Molecule: long non-coding RNA, 1282 nt
Filed under: Homo sapiens (human)
Lineage: Eukaryota; Metazoa; Chordata; Mammalia; Primates; Hominidae
Description: HSALNT0398572
Source: RNAcentral
GACCCUGUAAGUGGCUGCGGCGGGAAGAUGGCGGAGCUGCGCGUGCUCGUAGCUGUCAAGAGGGUCAUCGACUACGCCGUGAAGGUGAUCGGGCCCCCCUCUCCCACAUCCCUGAGUCCCGCAGCCGUGUGCUUCCGGGGCCACGAGCGCACACUGGGUGGGGGUCUUCUCGUAACCCCCGACCUCUGCCGCUUUAACCCCCAAACGUCAAAGUCACCUGAGGGCAAAAAUCCAAGAGUGAAGUUCUAACAUCCGAUCCCUCCGGGGUCACGGCCAUGUUCUCUUUUCCCUCGUUCUGGAUUCACUCUCUUGAUAACUGUUCAGAGUGAGUUGCUUUCUCUAUUUCUUACCCACUGGAAGAAGUCACGGUCCCUGUUUAAUGCACGGAGAAACUGAGGCACAGAGAGGUCACCCAGCUAGAGAAGGGCAGAGCCGAGAGUUCUAUCCAGGUUCCUCUGACUGCUUUCACCCACUAGGCUGCAUUACUUACCAUUGUACUCUUAUAUUACCCGAAAUGUGCUAUAGAGGGAGUCAGACAGGGUCCUGUGGGGCCCCAGAAGCUGCUUUCCACCCUCCAUAGCCACAGGGUGAGCCAGGAGGCUCUAGCUAGGGAGAGAGAAGUGUGUUUGCUAGAGAUGAAAGUUCAAGGAGCCAACCUGACUGAGCUGGGGGUAGCUCACAUUCUCCAUGAAAGAGGUGGGGGAGGGUGCUCUCAGCGCCUGGCUUGUUGUCCCCAGAGGGAAGCUGGUGUGGACAGAGGUGAAUCAGACACGGUCUCUCAGGCCCGUUUCUCUCAAUGCUUGGCCUGAACUGGACUGAAGAUGGUGACUGUCUGUCCAUGUCUGUCCUUCCCAUCAGCCUGGGGACUUACCUCCGUGUCCCCAGCAUUACCUAGCGCAGGGCCUGGCACCCUGGAGGCCUCAGGGUGGGCAAAACCAGGGUCACAAAGUUGACACUGAUACUGCCCCUGCCUGCUUAGGGAGUGGGCUGGGGAAGAGGGUACAGGAGCCAGACUUGAGCAUGAAAGUGUCAGUGAUGAUAGCAGCCAGCAUUUAGCGGGUACUUACGUGGCAGGCAUCGUUCCAAGUCCUUUGCAGAGAUUAACCCAUUCAGUCCUUUCAGUACCCUUUGUAUUAUUUAUUAUUUAUUUUUAUUUUUUGAGACGGAGUUUUGCUCUUUUUGCCCAGGCUGGAGUGCAAUGGCGGAGGUUGCAGUGAACCGAGAUCGUGCCACUGCACUCCAGCCUGGGUGACAGAGGGAGACUCCGUCUCACAAAAAAAAA